GCGCCCGUAGCUCAGUAGGAUAGAGCGUCGGUUUCCUAAACCGAAGGCCGCAGGUUCGAGUCCUGCCGGGCGUA
This 74-nucleotide transfer RNA is filed under the name Phycisphaerae bacterium. RNAcentral describes it as "tRNA-Arg". It matches the Rfam family "tRNA". From Rfam's summary of the family: Transfer RNA (tRNA) molecules are approximately 80 nucleotides in length. The record is from RNAcentral. Lineage: Bacteria; Pseudomonadati; Planctomycetota; Phycisphaerae. RNAcentral also lists the same sequence under 1 other name.